RNAcentral lists this ribosomal RNA (538 nucleotides) under uncultured bacterium. RNAcentral's name for it is "partial 16S ribosomal RNA". It matches the Rfam family "Bacterial small subunit ribosomal RNA", at positions 355 to 883 of the family's 1533-position model. The record is from RNAcentral.
UGGGGAAUAUUGGACAAUGGGCGCAAGCCUGAUCCAGCAAUGCCGCGUGUGUGAAGAAGGCCUUCGGGUUGUAAAGCACUUUUAUCAGGAGCGAAACGCUGUCGGCUAAUACCCGGCGGAACUGACGGUACCUGAGGAAUAAGCACCGGCUAACUUCGUGCCAGCAGCCGCGGUAAUACGAAGGGUGCAAGCGUUAAUCGGAAUUACUGGGCGUAAAGCGUGCGUAGGCGGUUUCUUAAGUCUGCUGUGAAAUCCCCGGGCUCAACCUGGGAAUGGCAGUGGAUACUGGGAGGCUAGAGUGUGUCAGAGGGUGGUGGAAUUCCCGAUGUAGCGGUGAAAUGCGUAGAGAUCGGGAGGAACAUCAGUGGCGAAGGCGGCCACCUGGGACAACACUGACGCUGAGGCACGAAAGCGUGGGGAGCAAACAGGAUUAGAUACCCUGGUAGUCCACGCCCUAAAGCGAUGCGAACUGGAUGUUGGUCUCAACUCGGAGAUCAGUGUCGAAGCUAACGCGUUAAGUUCGCCGCCUGGGGAGUAC